AAGAGUUCUAUAACUCCCAAACCCAUGUGAACAUACCGUACGUUGCCUCGGCAGGUCGCGUCUACCCCGUAGCACCCUACCCUGUAAGACCCUACCCUGUAGACCUUACCCGGUAGGACCUACCCGGCAGAUGCGGGUAAGCCUGCCGGCGGCCCACGAAAACUCUGUUUUAGCAUUGUACUUCUGAAUACUAUAACUAAAUCAGUUA
RNAcentral lists this unclassified non-coding RNA (208 nucleotides) under uncultured Xylaria. RNAcentral's name for it is "sequence contains ITS1". Lineage: Eukaryota; Fungi; Ascomycota; Sordariomycetes; Xylariales; Xylariaceae. The record is from RNAcentral.